GGUAUGGUGGCACAGACUUGUAAUCCCAGAGCUGGGCGGUCAGCUCCUUGUGUCUUUGCUCAAUCAGCAAGUCCUAAGUCCCAGUGAGAGACCCUAUCUCUAAAAUCAGGGAGGAUGGCUCCUGAGAAAUGGCUCCAGAGGUUGUCCCCUGCCCUCCAUAUGCAUGUGUACCUGUACACACAUGCUAGGCACAAGUUUUCUCCCCUCCCCCUAGAGGAACAGGUUCUGAGUAACAUCAUUGUCAGGCCAUACCCACACUUUAGCUCAGAAUCAGUGCUGGAGCUCUUCACCCAAAGCUUAGAGGACAUACAUAGAAGUUCUGAAAGCCCUAAGCUCUCGGUUCCCAAACUUUCUGGGUUUGUGUUGCCCCAUUUAGGGUUUUAUUUAAAAAAAUAUUCUUAGGCCAAAAGAUAGCAGUUUCAUUUAUGAAGAGAUUAAAGCUUAACAAUUAUUUACAUCCUGAUAAACUUGUUAAGUGUUCCAAGAAAUCGCAAUGAAUAUAAUAUUUCAUGACGAAUGAAUUUAGGAUUACUAAUAGGGUGUGUAAAUUUGUUGGAAACUGAAGGAACUCCCAAACCACAAGGCACCAUCUCUCACUUGCUGUUCCUCACUGAGUUUUUCACAGGGCACUUUUGUUUAAAACACAGCCUCCACAUAUCCCCACCAAUUGAGGAUACAGUGCAUUGGAAGGCACUCAGGAUCCAGCCUAGUGCCCUGAGCUUCACGGCUCGUCAUUUGCACAGUGACCACUCAUGGCUGGGAACUGGCGUGCUUCCUUUGAAAGCUCAGAACAGGCGGCGAUGCCUCUAGUGCUCCAGGUUGUCUUGAUGCAGUCUGGGAAGUGUGACUUUAUGUGAUUGUUUUCCAGGCUCUUCUCAAGCAGCAAGUAGCAGAAAUCUUUGGAGGGGUGUCCCUGCAGGAAGAGACCACUGGAGGAACUAGCCAAUGGACUAGAUGAUACUUCAAACCAGAUCACGCUUAAGGGGAUUGAAAAACCGGAGUUGGUGAAAACAUGCUGACUUGCUUUAAAAACUGGGAGUGUUUGUCUACGGCCAAAGACAGACAGUGGCGUGGAGUUCCUCCUCGCCCACUUGACUCCCUUAUGAACUUCUGGGAUAUUAAAGGCCAGUGAGCCAGUAUUCACGCCAUGGGUUUGAAAUGGGGCAUCCAAUCGAUUGAAUGGACCACGGACCACAAAAAACAAUUUAAAAAUGAAACCCCAGAACAGAAAGUAUGAGGACACCUUGCCCAUAGCGAGGCAGGCGUGGCUCUGGGAUGGUUACCUCAGCAUUUUGGUGUUAGGUGGCAGGUCAGGAUGUGUUAGUUAUUGGCAUCUGUGUUACUAAACUUUGAAAAAUUAUUUUAUCAAGCCAGGGAUCAGUAAGUCUGUUUGUAAAGUCCAAUAGAAAACAUUCUAGACAAUCCAGGCCAUAAAACUACUCAAGUAAUUUUGCACUCAAGUGCAAAAACAAGAUCUUCAUGUUUAUCAAUCAGCAGGGCCAUGUUACAAUAAAACUUUAUC
This 1522-nucleotide long non-coding RNA is filed under the name Mus pahari (shrew mouse). RNAcentral's name for it is "lncRNA (MGP_PahariEiJ_G0003995.1)". Lineage: Eukaryota; Metazoa; Chordata; Mammalia; Rodentia; Muridae. The record is from RNAcentral.